This is a non-coding RNA of Armillaria nabsnona, 78 nucleotides long. The record is from the annotation of a GenBank genome assembly. NCBI's taxonomy places the organism in Eukaryota, Fungi, Basidiomycota, Agaricomycetes, Agaricales, Physalacriaceae.
GGUCUAAUAGUUUAGUGGUUAUAAUGUUUUGUCUAUAUUAUUCAAAGAAGGUCUUUAGUUCAAUUCUUAGUGCUAUCA